AGGCAGCAGUGGGGAAUAUUGGACAAUGGGGGGAACCCCGAUCCAGUGACGCCGCGUGAGUGAAGAAGUAUUUCGGUAUGUAAAGCUCUAUCAGCAGGGAAGAAAAUGACGGUACCUGACUAAGAAGCCCCGGCUAACUACGUGCCAGCAGCCGCGGUAAUACGUAGGGGGCAAGCGUUAUCCGGAUUUACUGGGUGUAAAGGGAGCGUAGACGGUGCAGCAAGUCUGAUGUGAAAGGUCGGGGCCCAACCCCGGGACUGCAUUGGAAACUGUUGAACUGGAAUACAGGAGAGGUAAGCGGAAUUCCUAGUGUAGCGGUGAGAUGCGUAGAUAUUAGGAGGAACACCAGUGGCGAAGGCGGCUUACUGGACUGUAACUGACGUUGAGGCUCGAAAGCGUGGGGAGCAAACAGGAUUAGAUACCAUGGUAGUCCACGCCGUAAACGAUGAUCACUAGGUGUCGGUGGGCAUGGGCCCAUCGGUGCCGCAGCAAACGCAAAUAAGUGAUCCACCUGGGGAGUACGUUCGCAAGAAUGAAACUCAAAGGAAUUGACGGGGACCCGCACAAGCGGUGGAGCAUGUGGUUUAAUUGGAAGCAACGCGAAGAACCUUACCAAGUCUUGACAUCCCACUGACAGGUGAGUAAAGUCACCUUCUGUUCGGAGCAGUGGAGACAGGUGGUGCAUGGUUGUCGUCAGCUCGUGUCGUGAGAUGUUGGGUUAAGUCCCGCAACGAGCGCAACCCUUAUCCUUAGUAGCCAGAGAGUGAAGUCGGGCACUCUAGGGAGACUGCCGGGGAUAACCCGGAGGAAGGUGGGGAUGACGUCAAAUCAUCAUGCCCCUUAUGAUUUGGGCUACACACGUGCUACAAUGGCGUAAACAAAGGGAAGCGAGCCUGUGAAGGUAAGCGAAUCCCAGAAAUAACGUUUCAGUUCGGAUUGUAGUCUGCAACUCGACUACAUGAAGCUGGAAUCGCUAGUAAUCGCGGAUCAGAAUGCCGCGGUGAAUACGUUCCCGGGUCUUGUACACACCGCCCGUCAC
RNAcentral lists this ribosomal RNA (1039 nucleotides) under uncultured bacterium. RNAcentral's name for it is "bacterial SSU rRNA". It matches the Rfam family "Bacterial small subunit ribosomal RNA", at positions 346 to 1400 of the family's 1533-position model. The record is from RNAcentral.